CGCGAAUAGCUCAUUACAACAGCUAUAAUUCACUUGAUCUCGACACAAUCCUACUUGGAUAACUGUGGUAAUUCUAGAGCUAAUACAUGCAUUAAAGCUCUGACCUCACGGGACGAGUGCAUUUAUUAGAACAAAACCAAGCGGCUUCGGCUGUUUUCGGUUGACUCAUAGUAACUGAGCUGAUCGCAUGGUCUUGCACCGGCGACGUGUCUUUCGAGUAUCUGCCGUAUCAACUUUCGAUGGUAGUGUAUCUGACUACCAUGGUGAUCACGCGUAACGGAGAAUAAGGGUUCGACUCCGGAGAGUUCGCCUGAGAAAUCGCGAACACAUCUAAGGAAGGCAGCAGGCGCGAAAAUUACCCACUCUCAGCACGAGGAGGUAGUGACGAAAAAUAACGAGACCGUUCUCUUUCGAGGCCGGUCAUCGGAAUGGGUACAAUUUAAACCCUUUAACGAGUAUCUAUGAGAGGGCAAGUCUGGUGCCAGCAGCCGCGGUAAUUCCAGCU
Molecule: ribosomal RNA, 505 nt
Filed under: Eucephalobus oxyuroides
Lineage: Eukaryota; Metazoa; Nematoda; Chromadorea; Rhabditida; Cephalobidae
Description: SSU rRNA
Rfam family: Eukaryotic small subunit ribosomal RNA
Source: RNAcentral